UACGUAGGUGGCAAGCGUUGUCCGGAAUUAUUGGGCGUAAAGCGCGCGCAGGCGGUCCUUUAAGUCUGAUGUGAAAGCCCACGGCUCAACCGUGGAGGGUCAUUGGAAACUGGGGGACUUGAGUACAGAAGAGAAGAGUGGAAUUCCACGUGUAGCGGUGAAAUGCGUAGAGAUGUGGAGAACACCAGUGGCGAAGGCGACUUUCUGGUCUGUAACUGACACUGAGGCGCGAAAGCGUGGGGAGCAAACAGG
RNAcentral lists this ribosomal RNA (252 nucleotides) under uncultured bacterium. RNAcentral's name for it is "partial 16S ribosomal RNA". It matches the Rfam family "Bacterial small subunit ribosomal RNA", at positions 524 to 776 of the family's 1533-position model. The record is from RNAcentral.